Molecule: long non-coding RNA, 3853 nt
Filed under: Sus scrofa (pig)
Lineage: Eukaryota; Metazoa; Chordata; Mammalia; Artiodactyla; Suidae
Description: lncRNA (ENSSSCG00000052760.1)
Source: RNAcentral
AUUUUUAUUGGGAUAUAAUUGAUAUAUAACAGUAAUUUCAGGUGUAUAAUGUAAUGAUUUGAUACAUGUAUAUAUUGUGCAAUGAUCAUCACAGGAAGUCUGUGAUGUUUAACAUCCAUCACCACACAUAAUUUUUUUCUUGUGAUGAGAACUUUAUGGAUCUACUUUCUUAGCAUAUAAUGCUUUUAAAAUUUUUUAUUAAAGUACAGUUAAUUUACAAUGUUCCUUCAAUUUAUGCUGUAAAGCAGAGUGACCCAGCCACCCAUAUACACACAUUUUUUUUUUCAUUUUCCAUCAUGUUCUAACCCAAGAAAUGGGACACAGUUCCCUGUGUUCUACAGCAGGACCCCAUCAACCAACCCGUUCUAAAUGUAAGAGUCUGCAUCUACCAACCCCAAACUCCCUUCCUCUCUCCCCUCCACCUCCCCCAUGGCAAACACAAAUAUACCCUUCAUGUCCAUAAUCAGUUUCUGUUUUGUAGAUAGAUGAUUUGUGCCAUAUUUUAUACACUACAUACACCAUGAUCAAGUAGCAUUUAUCCCAGGGAUGCAGGGAUUCUUCAAUAUCAGCAUAUACUGCUUUUAAGAUAAAAAAAUUGAAUGUAAUAUAUAUGAAUAUAUAUGGAUUUCAGCAGGCUAAACUGUAUACAAUCCUAUAACUUUUUUAAAAAUAUGAAGACAAAGUUAUUAGUAUAAAAGAAUGAUGAAAGGGAAUAAUAUAAAAAUGUAUACCAUAAAUUCCUGAAAUUAUUAAGGGUGGAGCUAGAUCUUACUCUGAAAUCCUGGAAAACUAUGCAAAAUUAUCAUAGAAAUGUUCCACUAUGAGUUGGAAGUAUACCAAUUAAUCAGAAAAGCAUGUCACUCCAGGCAUUGAAGUCUCAGUGUUUUGUUUUGUUUUAAUUCUUUUGUCACAGGCACAGAGUUGAAGGAGAAGGCAACAGGCCUAUAACAUCUUUCUGGUAAAUUGUUGGUGCCAUUGAUAGAACUCUUCUAUGGACAAGGUCACCUGGUAAACAGUUCUGGAAGAUGCUGUUCACAUCAUUGUCCCUGUGAAGGUGCCCCUACUUGGUAGCCCUGAAGACAUAUUUUGCCCAUCAGACUGAGGUCAUAAAAUUAAAUUUAGGAAAAAGAAUUCUAGAAGGGCUCAGCAUUAUUCAACUCUCCUGUGCCUGGACUCAUCCAGAGAUAAAAUGAGGAUUCUUCUGUCUGUGGGGAAGUUCUUUUCGAAUGUUGUUGCUCACUAGGAGCUGGGAUUACAGAGCAAUUCCUGGUCUCCGUGUGUCCCCCUGCAUGCUGAAAUUCUAAAGGCUUAAUAUUCUGUAUAUUUUGGGUUUGGUGCCUUUGUAUGAGAUUUAUUUUGUGGAAAAGGAGGAGAGAAUGUUUCUUCAGGAAACUGGAGUCUAGCAUUUGCCUCCCUCUCACAUUACAAAAUUUCUAAGAAAAAUUAAAAUGUAGACAGUCAUAUUCUCUGAUACAAGCAUUUAAGAAUACCAUUUUUAGCUUCUAAAUAUUCAAAGAGAAAAGUGCAGAAGUGGGGAACUACAUAGAGAGUACUGAUGAGGAAUGUAUCAUUUCUGGAGUCAGAUCAGACUGCGAAAUCUCUCUCUCCCCCCCAACCCCCCUUUUAGGGCUACACCUGCAGCAUGUGAAAUUUCCCAGGCUAGGAGUCAAAUCAGAGUUGUAGUUGCCGGCCUACACCACAGCCACAACACCACCAGAUCUGAGCCACAUCCACAAACAAUGCCACAGCUUGUGGCAAUACCAGAUCCUUAACCCACUGAGUGAGGCCAGGGAUUGAACCCACAUUCUCAUGGAUACUAGUCGGGUUCAUUUCCGCUGAGCCACAAUAGGAACUUCCAGGCCGUGAAAUCUUUAUGCCACUCCUUUGCUGUAUAACUGACCAAAUCAUUUACCUCCAUCUGUCUCAGUUACCACAUCCACAAAAUGGGAAUAAUGAUGCCCAGUUCAGAGGGCUGAUAUGUGAGGGAAGUAGAAUGAUCUACCUAAAGCAUGUACAAAGUGCCUGGAAGAUUUGGAGUGUUUAAGGUGGUGGGUUUUUGUUAUUAGGUAAAAAGGUGACAUGUAAGGAAAAUGGACAAAUAAAAGAAGGACCUGAGGUAUAGGAAAAACAGAGAAAAGCAAACAGUGUGGGCUUCAGUGACCUUGUGAAAGGAAGUCACUGAGUAAAAUGGGCCAUUUUGCACUCAAUGUCACUUGCCUACCUGGCCAUGUUCCCUUUUCAGUUCAUUACUUUGAUAGUUAUUGACGUGUGUGUUGCGAAAAGUCAUGACACUCAGAAGAGUCUUGAAAGGUCAUGAACAAGAGGGCUGGACAGAUGACUGUCACAGCCUGAGCUCAACCAAAGAAAUGCUGACUCUGUACAUUGUCAGUGCUCCAAUUUUCUCUGUUGCUUUAAUACUUUCUCUUUUCUGGAUUUUCCUGGUUGCAGGAUAAAUUAAAUCUACUGUGUUAAAAAAAUAAGGCCCUUCUGUGGUAAGCUAAUUGUUCAUACACAGCCAUCCCCUGGUAAAAUGCAUCUUGAGAGAUACGCUAUCAAAGCCCUAAAAAUUAUUUUUAAAACAAGAAGCUGUUAGGCCAACUUGGGUUUCGGAUGAGGCUGAACUUGCCCAGCCUCUGAGGAUGGCAUGAUUUCCUGUUGUUCCUUGGGGGUCUUAUCUGAAAUAGAACUGGAGGGAAAGGCAAAAUGAUUGACAAGGGCAGUUGAUGGGAGCUCAGGUGUCCUGCUGUGGGGCUCACUCAGGAUUCCAAAUUAAAGUCAGCCAGGGCCCCAUGCUGGCUUGUGCUGCCCCAUGCAGACAAUGAGUCAGUUCUGUGCUAAGUACUUACAAUGUACAGAUUAGCAAAUACAAAAGUUGAGGGUCUCAGUACAUCCUUGUCUUUGAGAAACAAGCAGGGUGUUAGUUGCAAUUAUGAGGAAGUUGAUUGGGAGCUGAUGUGUACCUUUAAAAACACUUUCCAGGCUUUAUGUAUAUUUCCGUGUGGUUAUUACCAGAUUCCUUGCAUUUUAUUGUAUAAUUCCAUUCAAAUAAUAUUUAUUAUCCUUCUUCUGUCCUUCAAAAGCCUUGAUUAAUAUGCUUGGACCUAAAAACAGUUACGGAGUACUGACUUUGUUUUUCUACAGACAUUAAAUCCUCACUCUGGAUUUCUACAGUAAAUAGCCCUCUAUUAGUUUCACAUAACUAAGGUUUCUUAAGACAAUACAUAAUGCACCAAAACCAACACAGUGAAUGAUUGAGCUAUGAUUUGAAUCAAAUAUUUAGGUACCUAUGAGUAAAAUGCAGUACCUGCCUUCAGAAAGCCCAGACAUCUAGGAGAGUAACAUACUAACAGAUGACUGCAACUCAAGAUAGACCAAGGUUAAUGCAAUAAUGUAAUGAGUGUCUAGCUUAGAACUUUGCACAUAGUAGGCAAUCUAAAAUGUAUAUGGUAUUAAUGAAGAGAGAUAAUGCUUGAAAAACUGACCAAUGAAUAUAAACCCCCCCUUGAGUAUGAACUCUGAAAUAGUGCUCCUAUGUCAACCAACACAUCUUCAACCAAGGAGUAAGAUAGGCUGUCAAAAGAAUGGCAUGGGACUUAAGUAAAUUUAAUCUAUUAUCUUCAGAAGAACUUUUCCAGGGAGUUUCCACUAUGGCUCAAUAGUAAUGAACCCAACUAGUAUCCAUGAGGAUGCAGGUUCGAUCCCUGGCUUCUCUCAAUGGAUUAAGGACCUGGCAUGGCCAUGAGCAGUGCUGUGGGUUGCAGGCACAGCUCUGAUCCCACAUUGCUAUGGCUCUACUGUAGGCUGGCAGCUACACUUCUGAUUGGAACCCUAUCCUGGGAACUUCCAAAUGCUG